AGAGAGAGACAUGCGCGCAUAUCAAUAAGCGGAGGAAAAGAAACUAACUAGGAUUCCCUCAGUAACGGCGAGUGAAGCGGGAAGAGCUCAAAUUUGAAAUCUUCAAGGUUCUACCUUGACGAAUUGUAGUUUAAAGAAGUGUUUUCUGUUGGAGUUUUGGUAAAAGUUCUUUGGAAUAGGACAUCAUAGAGGGUGAGAAUCCCGUAUUUGACCAUUAUUUCCAGCUUUGUGAUACACUUUCAAAGAGUCGGAUUGUUUGGGAAUGCAGUCCAAAAUGGGUUGGUAAAUUUCAUCUAAAGCUAAAUAUUGGCGAGAGACCGAUAGCGAACAAGUACCGUUAGGGAAAGAUGAAAAGAACUUUGAAAAGAGAGUUAAACAGUACGUGAAAUUGUCAAAAGGGAAGCGUUUGACACCAGUGUUGUUUUCUCGAAAAUCAAUUAAAAAAGGCAGGAUUUUGUGUUGUAUUGACUUUAUCAGCUUUCUGCACUCUUUUCUUGUCUUUUUUAAUGCACUUUUCGUUUAACAAGUCAACAUCAAUUUCUUUUGUUGUAAAAGGGUCAUUGGAAGGUGGCUUUCUUUUCGGAGAAAGUGUUUAUAGCCUUUGGCCUCUGCAAUCGGAGAGAUUGAGGUCUGCAGCGUAGAUCCUUCGGGGUUAGAUACAUUUGUGCUAAGUUAUAGCCUUUCAUAGACAACUUGUUGACUAUGAUCAGUCAUGUAGCUUACUCGCUUAUGCUAUUUUACCUACGCUUAGGAUGUUGAUGUGAUACUGCGAGCA
RNAcentral lists this ribosomal RNA (775 nucleotides) under uncultured Neocallimastigales. RNAcentral describes it as "partial large subunit ribosomal RNA". It matches the Rfam family "Eukaryotic large subunit ribosomal RNA", at positions 23 to 639 of the family's 3401-position model. The record is from RNAcentral. Lineage: Eukaryota; Fungi; Neocallimastigomycota; Neocallimastigomycetes; Neocallimastigales.